RNA transcript from Camarhynchus parvulus, 1573 nucleotides. It is a transcript of the gene named RAB7B, member RAS oncogene family, with no coding region annotated. The transcript has 7 exons. The record is from RefSeq and is a predicted model, not a curated record. NCBI's taxonomy places the organism in Eukaryota, Metazoa, Chordata, Aves, Passeriformes, Thraupidae.
CAGAAAACCCUUUUAAAGGAACCGAGGGGAUUCUGAGCCAGAGAGGCCAAAAGUCCAUCCCAAACUCCAGAACCUUGUUCACCUUCCCCACCGGACCCCGAGCCGGGGACACUCGGCAAAUCCAUGGACACCCCAGCGCCCGCCCGCGGCUCCUCCAGCCCCGCCGGCAUCUCGGCCCCUUUCUGCUGAUGUCACGGAGCGGGGCCCCGUAGCCGCCUUCCCCGGGAGGGCCGGCAUCGGCCGCCCCUUCCCGGAUCCUCCUCUCUCGCCUCUCCUCUCCCCUCCCCGGGCCGGCUGCAGCGGAGCCGGGAGCCGCGGCUGCCCGGCAGGUGAGUGCUCCGCAGCCCCGUGUGCCCCACUCGCCCCCAGGGCCUGUCCAUGGAUGCCAGCAAGAAGGUGGAUCUGAAGAUCAUCAUCAUCGGAGCUCUGGGCGUGGGCAAGACCUCCCUGCUGCACCAGUACGUGCACAAGACGUUCUACGAGGAUUACCGCACCACGCUGGGCGCCAGCAUCCUCACCAAGGUCCUGGCCGUGGACAGCACCCCCCUGAAGCUGCAGAUCUGGGACACGGGGGGACAGGAGCGGUUCCGGUCCAUGGUGUCGACCUUCUACAAAGGCUCAGACGGCUGCAUGCUGGCCUUCGACGUGACAGACAGGGAGUCCUUUGAGGCCCUGGACAACUGGAGAGAUGAUUUCCUGGAGAAGGUCAUUCCCAGGGAGCAGGAUUUCCCCAUGGUGGUGCUGGGGAACAAGAUAGACCUCAGUGACCGGCAGGUGCCCAAGGAGACGGCCUCAGCCUGGUGCAAGGAGAAGGACAUCCCCUAUUUCGAGGUCAGUGCCAAGAACAACAUCAACGUGGCCGAGGCUUUCGAGACCCUGGCGAAGCAGGCGCUGAGCACGUACAAAGGGAUUUUUGAGAGUUAUUUAACCGACUCCAUCAAGCUCACUCCCAAUGACAAGCCCAAGCAGAGCUGCUGCUGACCUCGGGGCCGCUGGAUGGAGCCCUGCCCGGUGUCGGUGCCCGCUGCCCACCCCAGCUGCCCAUGGGGACUGGCAGUGCCAGGGCUGGGCACACCAGGGCCAGCUGCCUGCUCAUGCCGGGAUUUGCUGCUUGCCACGGCUCUGGAGCUGCUCUCCACCACCUCAGUGUCACGGUGGUGGCCCUGUGCCCAUCCCCUCGAUGUCCCUGUGGUGAUGGUGCCAGGGAUGCUCCCGAUGCCUCUCAGAGUCCUUGGCACCACGGGUGACCCUCCCCAGGGCACAGCCUGGUGGCCCCCCGGCUCCCAGGGUGGUACAGGCUGCCCUGAGGGGACAGUUGGGCUGGUGGCCUCGGCACAGGGACCUGCCACUGCAGAGACAACUGUUCUGUGCCUCAGUUUCCCCUCCUCUCAUGCAUAUCCCCCAUCAAACACCUUCCCCCUCCUGCCUCACUGGGGAGGAUUCUCAAAAAAGCACUUUGUCAAGGGUACUCUUUUUUGUUUUUUUAAAGGAAAUUAAAUAUUUCAUUUUUAUUUAUAUUUAUGUGUUGUAAAAUGCUCCCCAGGUCCUGCAGCAGGAAGCUGGGGUGAGGGCU